This 439-nucleotide ribosomal RNA is filed under the name uncultured bacterium. RNAcentral describes it as "partial 16S ribosomal RNA". It matches the Rfam family "Bacterial small subunit ribosomal RNA", at positions 338 to 795 of the family's 1533-position model. The record is from RNAcentral.
CCUACGGGUGGCAGCAGUGGGGAAUAUUGCACAAUGGGGGAAACCCUGAUGCAGCGACGCCGCGUGAAGGAAGAAGUAUUUCGGUAUGUAAACUUCUAUCAGCAGGGAAGAAAAUGACGGUACCUGACUAAGAAGCCACGGCUAACUACGUGCCAGCAGCCGCGGGAAUACGUAGGGGGCAAGCGUUAUCCGGAUUUACUGGGUGUAAAGGGAGCGUAGGCGGCGAUGCAAGUCAGAAGUGAAAGCCCGGGGCUCAACUCCGUCGAGCCGUUGAAACUGGCAGACUUGAGUUGGCGAGAAGUACGCGGAAUGCGCGGUGUAGCGGUGAAAUGCAUAGAUAUCGCGCAGAACUCCGAUUGCGAAGGCAGCGUACCGGCGCCAGACUGACGCUGAGGCACGAAAGCGUGGGGAUCGAACAGGAUUAGAUACCCUAGUAGUC